AUUAACACCUCCUAAAGAUGGAUGUUUGCAGCAUGACACUUCAAGAUCCAUAGACUCCAAUGGGAACAUGCAUGCAUAAGAAGGGAAGCUCUUGCUAUGGGACUCUGGGUUCAGUCCUGCAAGCCAAGCCUCAGAGGAAUCUCAGAGGAACCCCGACUCCUCACUCAGUCAGCCUUGCCUGGCCAGUAAGACUGUCUUGAACCACCAUGGACUGGUAACUCUGCACCAUCUGCAGGACCUGUGUGCUUACACCUGUCUCUGAAAAUCUGCAAUGUCCCUGACAGAUGUGAGUCUGAACUCAGCCACUUGCAAUCUGGAGAUGUUAAAAUUUGAGCCCACAUCUUGGUAUUUGACUCCAGUUUUCCAGAUGCAGCAGUGAAAUGCUUGGACAGAACUCUCACAAAGAAUGAAUGGCAGAGCUGGGAAUCAUACCAAUGAAUCAUAUUGAAUGAGUGAAAGCAUUGCUGCUAUUGGAACCUUGGCAGCCACUCAAACUUUAAAAGUUCAAUUUGGACAGCUAACUAUAAAGGGUCAAAUUCUCCACUCAGCAGUCACUGAAGUCAAUGUGCAAGUAUUCAAGAGCCAAUUUGACCCCAACAGUUAGAAGAACGGAAUUGAAUUUUUAUAGAACAAGGUACCAUACGGUACCAUACGUGGCUAUUUUUAGGUGGAAUUCUGCUGACACAAGUGUAAAUCUAGUCUUCCAGACAGGCCUUUAUUAUGAAAAGGGGGAAAAGCAAAUCAACCACUCACAGCAACAACAGCCAACAAAAACAAUAACACCAAUUUACCUGAUUCUUCAUCCUAUGAGAAGUUGAUGUAAAAAUGCUACCAUUCUUUUUUAGUAAAGUUUGUAUAGAUUUGUUUUCAAAGUCAAAAGGGAACAUUAUGAUCAUCUAGUCAGACUCCUGCAUAACAUGGGCCAUAGCAUUUUAGGUAGUGAUUCCUGGAUCAGGCUCAUAAGUUCUGAAGUAAAGCAUUCACUUUGUGCAGGUGU
Molecule: non-coding RNA, 997 nt
Organism: Pelodiscus sinensis (Chinese soft-shelled turtle)
Lineage: Eukaryota; Metazoa; Chordata; Testudines; Trionychidae
Source: RefSeq, a predicted model, not a curated record